RNAcentral lists this long non-coding RNA (525 nucleotides) under Setaria viridis. RNAcentral's name for it is "long non-coding RNA (SVIR_LNC005767)". The record is from RNAcentral. Lineage: Eukaryota; Viridiplantae; Streptophyta; Magnoliopsida; Poales; Poaceae.
UUUGUUUAAAGUCAAAAGCAGAACAUACCUGAAGGUAUUUACCAUGGUAUGAAUAAUUCCGAAUCGACACCGUCGUAACUCCUCUAUUUUUUAGUGGGCCAAGAUGCGAGAACCAACACCAUUUCCAAACCAAAAUAAGAUUUGGCAUGAAAAGAACUAACUUAGGACUCACAUACCUCCCCCACACUUGGAGUUUGGAUUGCUGGGCAACACAACUCAAGUGUGUGGAGCUCAAGCUUCCUUUCGUAAUCGUUCCCUCACCAAGACUUACCAAGGUGUUGUAGUUGAUGUAGCUUCCAUGUUCUUAGGCAUCACCUAUCCAUCGUUCCUUUUGAUCUCCACCUGAAAUGGUUAGCAAACAAAAAUAUCCGAAGGAAAACUUUAUCCUAGAAACACGCUCUUGCUUUUUAUUCCAAGGAAAAAUAAAUAAUCGUCCAGGCUAUCUCCCGGCAGUGCUUUGUUUACGGUCACAAGCUCGACCAUGGGAACUUCCUUUUGUAGCUAUCAUUGACGAUGACGUUCCCC